This 425-nucleotide ribosomal RNA is filed under the name uncultured bacterium. RNAcentral describes it as "bacterial SSU rRNA". It matches the Rfam family "Bacterial small subunit ribosomal RNA", at positions 355 to 771 of the family's 1533-position model. The record is from RNAcentral.
UGGGGAAUAUUGGACAAUGGGGGCAACCCUGAUCCAGCAAUGCCGCGUGAGUGAUGAAGGCCUUAGGGUCGUAAAGCUCUGUCGGAGGGAACGAAUGCUCCCAGGGUUAAUAUCCCUGGGAUGUGACGGUACCCUCCAAGGAAGCACCGGCUAACUCUGUGCCAGCAGCCGCGGUAAUACAGAGGGUGCAAGCGUUAAUCGGAAUUACUGGGCGUAAAGCGCGCGUAGGCGGUUUGUUAAGUCGGAUGUGAAAGCCCCGGGCUCAACCUGGGAACUGCACCCGAUACUGGCCGACUAGAGUACGAGAGAGGGAGGUAGAAUUCCACGUGUAGCGGUGAAAUGCGUAGAUAUGUGGAGGAAUACCGGUGGCGAAGGCGACCUCCUGGCUCGAUACUGACGCUGAGGUGCGAAAGCGUGGGGAGCAA